GUCCGUACGGGACAUCCGAUAAAAGUGGAAUGAUAUAGAGAAGAUUAGCACGGCCCUAGUGCGAGGUGACAUGUAUAAAUCGAGAAAUGAUGCAAAAUUCU
This is a small nuclear RNA of Pyrus x bretschneideri (Chinese white pear), 101 nucleotides long. NCBI's taxonomy places the organism in Eukaryota, Viridiplantae, Streptophyta, Magnoliopsida, Rosales, Rosaceae. The record is from RefSeq and is a predicted model, not a curated record.